AUUGAACGCUGGCGGCAGGCCUAACACAUGCAAGUCGAGCGGAUGAAGAGAGCUUGCUCCUGGAUUCAGCGGCGGACGGGUGAGUAAUGCCUAGGAAUCUGCCUGGUAGUGGGGGAUAACGCCCGGAAACGGGCGCUAAUACCGCAUACGUCCUGAGGGAGAAAGUGGGGGAUCUUCGGACCUCACGCUAUCAGAUGAGCCUAGGUCGGAUUAGCUAGUUGGUGGGGUAAAGGCCUACCAAGGCGACGAUCCGUAACUGGUCUGAGAGGAUGAUCAGUCACACUGGAACUGAGACACGGUCCAGACUCCUACGGGAGGCAGCAGUGGGGAAUAUUGGACAAUGGGCGAAAGCCUGAUCCAGCCAUGCCGCGUGUGUGAAGAAGGUCUUCGGAUUGUAAAGCACUUUAAGUUGGGAGGAAGGGCAGUAAGUUAAUACCUUGCUGUUUUGACGUUACCAACAGAAUAAGCACCGGCUAACUUCGUG
RNAcentral lists this ribosomal RNA (484 nucleotides) under uncultured bacterium. RNAcentral describes it as "partial 16S ribosomal RNA". It matches the Rfam family "Bacterial small subunit ribosomal RNA", at positions 30 to 507 of the family's 1533-position model. The record is from RNAcentral.